UUGUCCUACGGGGCGCAGCAGUGGGGAAUAUUGCACAAUGGGGGAAACCCUGAUGCAGCGACGCCGCGUGAAGGAAGACGUAUUUCGGUAUGUAAACUUCUAUCAGCAAGGAAGAUGAUGACGGUACUUGACUAAGAAGCCCCGGCUAACUACGUGCCAGCAGCCGCGGUAAUACGUAGGGGGCAAGCGUUAUCCGGAUUUACUGGGUGUAAAGGGAGCGGAGGCGGCCAUGCAAGACAGAAGUGAAAGCCCGGGGCUCAACCCCG
This 266-nucleotide ribosomal RNA is filed under the name uncultured bacterium. RNAcentral describes it as "partial 16S ribosomal RNA". It matches the Rfam family "Bacterial small subunit ribosomal RNA", at positions 334 to 617 of the family's 1533-position model. The record is from RNAcentral.